GCCACCACCAGGAGGGGCAGGUCCCCUAAGGAGUGAUUCGGUAACUGGGGUG
RNAcentral lists this ribosomal RNA (52 nucleotides) under uncultured bacterium. Its description in RNAcentral is "partial 16S ribosomal RNA". The record is from RNAcentral.